RNAcentral lists this long non-coding RNA (1444 nucleotides) under Sus scrofa (pig). RNAcentral describes it as "lncRNA (ENSSSCG00005012361.1)". Lineage: Eukaryota; Metazoa; Chordata; Mammalia; Artiodactyla; Suidae. The record is from RNAcentral.
GGGAGGCCGAGAAGCCCUUCAAGGACCCCGAUUACUUUCCUUUGAAUGAAAAACAACAACAACAACAACAACUGCUCCCUUCCCGCGCCCCCGCAUCCCCCCACCCCUUAGCCUCCGGGGACCCGCGCUUGGCGCAAUUGUCGCCCGGGACAGUAAACAGAGCUCAGUUGCCUCAACUUUCUCCGCACAUAAAAGUUCCCGGCGUGCGGGGAAAUUUGAAUAUUUGAUCAGCCCCUUUGAGUGACCCUCAUUAGCCUGGCGCCCUGCUAAGGCCCCAGCAUUGCAAGAAAGCUGCUGGGCCCGGCAUUUGUAUGCCUUGUUAGCGCCGCUUAAUGAAGCCUCCCCGACCGCUCAAAAGCGGCCUCCGGGCCGGCGGCGCGCACCUCUCGGCACCCGGCUCUGCCUAAUGAGCCCCACCGCCUGCCGAAGGCCCCUCCGCCCCCCACAUCCUCAAACAAGAGAAAUUUGGCUCCGUCUUGGACCACCGCACCUCCCACUGCCAGGCCCAAGAGACUGGGCACAAACUGAGCCUGGCUGGCUGUGGUGACCCAGCCCCAAGAGGAAGAGGUGGGAGACUUGGGGGAUGUGAGCCCUAUGGGCUAGAGGGUGGUUUUGUGGCCUCAGGGUGUAGCCCAGGGAGUGACACUGCCAACCUUUCCCAAGAGGGCCAAGUUCAAAUCAAUUAGUCACCCCAGGUCCUUAAAGAACUGCAUCUGGACUAAUGUUGGGGUGGCAGAGGGCAGAUGCCCUGGGGAGGGUCAGCUUUCCAUCUUCCUCUGUCUUCAAGUUCCUUUGGACUCCACUGCCCAGGAGCUAGCUGCCCACUUCUUUGCAGAUCCCUUUAUGACAGCCAGACCUGGAGUGUUAGGGCUUGGGUUUGAGAAGUCAUCAACACACUCCUCAAACUAUCAUUGUUCCCACCCACCAUCCACAGACCUCAGGCACAAAUGUUAUGACUGUGACACUGGAAAAAGCCAGGUACCACAGCCCACCCUGUUCCUGCCCCCGCCCCACCCCUAGCCAUUCUGGCUCUGGUCUCUCUUUAAUCACACUUCCAGUCUUUAAGAGGCCUGAAGAAAGCCCUCUAGGCAAGAGGCUACCCUGUACAGGAACCAGCCGGCUCCUAGGCUCAAGUGGCAUGCCCCGCCCUAUUUCCAUCCCAGGAACUCCUAAUUCCAGACCAAACUGACAAUUUUUAGGACUCAUCUCUGCCCUGGGCAAGGCAGUGCCCAGGCCUUGAUCCAUGCAAAGGGCAAAGGUAGGAGAUGGAAAUCGAGGAGUGGACGCUGUUGGGGAGAAAAGGGGACCUGAGGCGGAGGAUUUGACUCAGCUCUGUGGCCCCAAGGCCAGGCCCACCAACUGCUCAGGGGAGGAGGCGAGAGGAGGGGGCUAGGAGUCUGCGGGCAUCGGUCGGGGCAGGAGGGACCUAAGGCGUCGGCGUGGG